GACGAACGCUGGCGGCGUGCUUAACACAUGCCAGUCGAACGGAAAGGCCCUGCUUUUGUGGGGUGCUCGAGUGGCGAACGGGUGAGUAACACGUGAGUAACCUGCCCUUGACUUUGGGAUAACUUCAGGAAACUGGGGCUAAUACCGGAUAGGAGCUCCUGCUGCAUGGUGGGGGUUGGAAAGUUUCGGCGGUUGGGGAUGGACUCGCGGCUUAUCAGCUUGUUGGUGGGGUAGUGGCUUACCAAGGCUUCGGCGGGUAGCCGGCCUGAGAGGGUGACCGGCGACAUUGGGACUGAGAUAGGGCGCAGACUCCUACGGGAGGCAGCAGUGGGGAAUAUUGCACAAUGGGCGGAAGCCUGAUGCAGCAACGCCGCGUGCGGGAUGACGGCCUUCGGGUUGUAAACCGCUUUCGCCUGUGACGAAGCGGGAGUGACGGUAAUGGGUAAAGAAGCACCGGCUAACUACGUG
RNAcentral lists this ribosomal RNA (468 nucleotides) under uncultured bacterium. RNAcentral's name for it is "partial 16S ribosomal RNA". It matches the Rfam family "Bacterial small subunit ribosomal RNA", at positions 28 to 507 of the family's 1533-position model. The record is from RNAcentral.